CCUACGGGAGGCAGCAGUGAGGAAUAUUGGUCAAUGGGCGUAAGCCUGAACCAGCCAAGUCGCGUGAGGGAUGAAGGUUCUAUGGAUCGUAAACCUCUUUUAUAAGGGAAUAAAGUGUGGGACGUGUCCUAUUUUGUAUGUACCUUAUGAAUAAGGAUCGGCUAACUCCGUGCCAGCAGCCGCGGUAAUACGGAGGAUCCGAGCGUUAUCCGGAUUUAUUGGGUUUAAAGGGAGCGUAGGUGGGUUUUUAAGUCAGCGGUGAAAGUUUGUGGCUCAACCAUAGAAUUGCCGUUGAAACUGGGGGGCUUGAGUAUGUUUGAGGCAGGCGGAAUGCGUGGUGUAGCGGUGAAAUGCUUAGAUAUCACGCAGAACCCCGAUUGCGAAGGCAGCCUGCCAAGCCAUGACUGACGCUGAUGCACGAAAGCGUGGGGAUCAAACAGGAUUAGAUACCCUUGUAGUC
RNAcentral lists this ribosomal RNA (460 nucleotides) under uncultured bacterium. Its description in RNAcentral is "partial 16S ribosomal RNA". It matches the Rfam family "Bacterial small subunit ribosomal RNA", at positions 338 to 795 of the family's 1533-position model. The record is from RNAcentral.